RNAcentral lists this ribosomal RNA (140 nucleotides) under Providencia rettgeri. RNAcentral describes it as "partial 23S ribosomal RNA". It matches the Rfam family "Bacterial large subunit ribosomal RNA", at positions 1 to 139 of the family's 2925-position model. The record is from RNAcentral. Lineage: Bacteria; Pseudomonadati; Pseudomonadota; Gammaproteobacteria; Enterobacterales; Morganellaceae.
GGUUAAGCGACUAAGCGUACACGGUGGAUGCCUAGGCAAUCAGAGGCGAUGAAGGACGUGCUAAUCUGCGAUAAGCGUCGGUAAGGUGAUAUGAACCGUUACAACCGACGAUUUCCGAAUGGGGAAACCCAGUGCAAUUC